GAUGAACGCUGGCGGCGUGCCUAAUACAUGCAAGUCGAGCGAACAGAUGAGGAGCUUGCUCCUCUGACGUUAGCGGCGGACGGGUGAGUAACACGUGGAUAACCUACCUAUAAGACUGGGAUAACUUCGGGAAACCGGAGCUAAUACCGGAUAAUAUAUUGAACCGCAUGGUUCAAUAGUGAAAGACGGUUUUGCUGUCACUUAUAGGUGGAUCCGCGCCGCAUUAGCUAGUUGGUAAGGUAACGGCUUACCAAGGCAACGAUGCGUAGCCGACCUGAGAGGGUGAUCGGACACACUGGAACUGAGACACGGUCCAGACUCCUACGGGAGGCAGCAGUAGGGAAUCUUCCGCAAAGGGCGAAAGCCUGACGGGGCAACGCCGCGUGAGUGAUGAAGGUCUUCGGAUCGUAAAACUCUGUUAUUAGGGAAGAACAAAUGUGUAAGUAACUAUGCACGUCUUGACGGUACCUAAUCAGAAAGCCACGGCUAACUACGUG
RNAcentral lists this ribosomal RNA (497 nucleotides) under uncultured bacterium. RNAcentral describes it as "partial 16S ribosomal RNA". It matches the Rfam family "Bacterial small subunit ribosomal RNA", at positions 28 to 507 of the family's 1533-position model. The record is from RNAcentral.